This 669-nucleotide ribosomal RNA is filed under the name uncultured bacterium. Its description in RNAcentral is "bacterial SSU rRNA". It matches the Rfam family "Bacterial small subunit ribosomal RNA", at positions 10 to 657 of the family's 1533-position model. The record is from RNAcentral.
AGUUUGAUCAUGGCUCAGAACGAACGCUGGCGGCGUGGAUAAGACAUGCAAGUCGGACGAGAUUUCAUCCUGUAGCAAUACGGGAAGAAGUCUAGUGGCGAACGGGUGCUUAACACGUGGGCAAUCUGUCUUAAAGUGGGGGAUAGCUCGGCGAAAGCCGAAUUAAUACCGCAUGUGAUUAGAGUGGACAUCCAUUCAAAAUCAAAGUCGGGGCAACCUGACGCUUUUUGAGGAGCCCGCGGCCUAUCAGCUAGUUGGUGAGGUAACGGCUCACCAAGGCUUUGACGGGUAGCUGGUCUGAGAGGACGACCAGCCACACUGGGACUGAGACACGGCCCAGACACCUACGGGUGGCAGCAGUCGAGAAUUUUUCUCAAUGGGGGAAACCCUGAAGGAGCGACGCCGCGUGGAGGAUGAAGGUCUUCGGAUUGUAAACUCCUGUCAUUGGGGAACAAGGUGCAUACGUUAACUGCGUGUGCAUUGAUAGUACCCGAAGAGGAAGAGACGGCUAACUCUGUGCCAGCAGCCGCGGUAAUACAGAGGUCUCAAGCGUUGUUCGGAUUCAUUGGGCGUAAAGGGUGCGUAGGCGGCGCGGUAAGUCGGGUGUGAAAUCUCGGAACUUAACUCCGAAACUGCAUUCGAUACUGCCGUGCUCGAGGACUGGAGAGG